Molecule: ribosomal RNA, 254 nt
Filed under: uncultured bacterium
Lineage: Bacteria
Description: partial 16S ribosomal RNA
Rfam family: Bacterial small subunit ribosomal RNA
Source: RNAcentral
UACGUAGGGGGCAAGCGUUGUUCGGAAUGACUGGGCGUAAAGGGUGCGUAGACGGUGUAGCAAGUUAGAAGUGAAAUACCUAGAGCUUAACUCAGGUGCUGCUUCUAAAACUGCUAUACUUGAGUGCAGUAGAGGAAAGUGGAAUUCCUAGUGUAGCGGUGGAAUGCGUAGAUAUUAGGAGGAACAUCAGUGGCGAAAGCGACUUUCUGGACUGUAACUGACGCUGAGGCACGAAAGUGUGGGGAGCAAACAGG